Molecule: non-coding RNA, 1071 nt
Organism: Misgurnus anguillicaudatus (oriental weatherfish)
Lineage: Eukaryota; Metazoa; Chordata; Actinopteri; Cypriniformes; Cobitidae
Source: RefSeq, a predicted model, not a curated record
ACCUUAUUUUUCACGACAACAAGGGCGGCGCCAUUUCGCUCAUUUUGUCAACGUUCUUCCGGCCGCAUACAUGAUGAGAAGCUGAGGCAGUGGCUGAAGGCGACGCGUUAAACUUAAAAAGCUCACUCAAGCGCCUUUAUGUUUGUUUCUUAUCAAUUAUAACGAACGGGAAGCCGACUGAGGAACACCCUUAUCCCAAGUAAAGGUUCGACUACGAUGUUCCGGUAAAUUUAAACCACGGCGGGUGUUGCAAAGGUGGCCAGUUUCAGAUGCAUUGAUGUGUAGUGAUGCAGUGAACAACUGUGAGGAUGAUACAAUCAACAACAUGUUCCUAAACUGUGAUGCAGAAACACAAUGGGAGGAUCCAUCCGUCUCUGACCACAACUACACUUUAAAAUCACAACUCAACCUGAAGCAACCUACAUCUGAUAUGGGAAAACAAUGGUGCGGUUUCCCGGACAGGGCUUAUUCUGGUACCAGGCUAAAAUGCAUAUUUGAGCUACAAUAAUUUAAAAACACCUUGUACUCACAUACCUCAACGAGUGCCAUUGUACGCACCAGUCUUGUUUUUUUGUAGGGUUUGUUUGUAAAAACUAAAAUGUCCUAAUAUAAUUAAGGCCUAGUCCUGUAAACCCUGUCCGAGAAACUGCUCCAAUGUGUUGAGCUGGCACAAAUGUACAGAAACAACCAUCCUUGUCAGCUUUACACAGGGUUGAUAUUGCAUCCAUUACACAGUCGCCAAGCACUUUACCAGUACAUACACCAACAGCUUCCAGAUAUACACCCGGGAUCAGCUCCUGAUGACUCUAAUAAAGCUGCAUCUUAAUUUAUUGCAGGGUGGUCUUGCUGAAAAGUUAGCUGUUUCUAGUCCAUAGUUAUUUUUAUAAACCUUUACAAUGUGACCUGAUUUUACCUGUUGUAAAGUUACAUUAAACCUUCAUAUGUGAUCAGAUGUCAUGCAGUGAUAUUAAACAUUUACAAUGUGGUAUGAUGCCAUGCAUUUAUAUUAAACCUUCAUAAUGUGAUCAGAUGUUACCUGCCAUGCAGUUAUAUUAAACCUUUACAAUGUGA